CACAUAGACCAUCCUGCAUCCUGCACACAAAUGCAAUGAACUCACACCACAACCACAGGUUAUUACAUCGAUUGCAUCAUACAAACACUCACACUGAUGCAUAGGCGCCACCCUUAUUUUUAGGGGUCAGUCCUGUAAAGCUGUCGUUAGCAAAACUGAACUACCAACAGUCUCUUAUUUGCUCUUGUAGCGCUGUCUACAUAAUGUGAUUGUCAGAAAAAAGUUCACCAGUGUCAAUCUCGAUAUUUAAUCAAUUAGUUAGACGUGAAUUACGUGUUAUUUUUGUUGUAUUAGCUAGUGGUAAUAAAUGUAGGUACGGAACCCAGCGCUUUAAAGUUCAGUAUUGGUAUUAUAGCUAGUACCCCCUGCACAUCUAGACCUCCCAUCAGCCUUCCAGUUGGGUUUCCACCUUGAUUGAGUGAACACGUUGCCGGUUUAUCGCGAUUUUUAAAGUCAUUUUACCUUAGUGUUUCUUAAUUUGUGUUGUUUAAAAGUGAAUUAUAAAAGUCAUUUUUAAUUCUUAAAAAUCUAAGUUUUUUUUUCUACACUUGUUCGUGGAGAAUUUGUGGGGUUUUUUACAACAAUUGAGAUAAUAAAACCAGCAAAAAUGUCAUCGAACAACAAACAAACUGUUAAUGAAUUAAAGGAUUUGCAAGAUAUUGAGCGAGAACUGCAGCCCCACGAGCGCAUCGUCUACGACGUCUUCGAACCGAAACAACCUCCAGACAAACCGUCGUUCAACGACUCAGUUUCUGGUGCAGUCGAUAUAGAGUGUGUUUAUGAAUGUGGCCCGGUGAUGGAAUAUCUCCGGAACCUCCCAUUCCGAAGAUCAAAUGUUGUCAAAUUGGAGCCUCUGAAAGAGGUCCCAGAAACGUAUGUAAAGAACACCGGUGUACCAUUUGCACCAUCACACUAUCCUAUUGGCCAUUACAGAGCCAGCUUACCUGAACGUUCUUUCCAACACUAUCCGUAUCGAGUGGUGGGAGUACCAUUCCCACAAUAUCGAUAUCCUUACCCGCAUUAUUUACCUGCGGCACACGUUCAUAGACCUCAACGACGAGUUUAAAGGGCUUGUAUUACCGAGGCUUACCGAGAUAUUACCUAUAAUUGCAACAAGUGUACAAAAUUUCCGUACAUAUAUAACGAGUAUUAACAGGACCAAGAUAUGCCUGGAUCAGACGGGUACGUUAAUUAAUAAAAGCUAUUACUAAUGACCGCUUUGACGAUUUCGACAUUUGCAUAUUAUAAUGAACGCUUCUUACGAGUAAGAAACAUUAAGGAGUACGCACAUUAUUUCAGCUCCUUCCGCGUUUUGCUAGACGCAGAGUUGAACAGUACCGUACGCGUCUUUGAGAAUCGUUGUUUUCUGCUGUAUUAAGCUAAAGCUGUACUGAGCUGAAUAAAUGUGCGUAGUCCUCUACAUUGACAAUAUUUUGAUACGAUAACGGCAAAAUUUUAGGUUGAUUUUUGUCUCACGCAGACAGACGUCGCACCACCGACGAACACUGGUGGCGGAUAUCAGUCUUUUGAAACAUAGAAUAAAUAAUUUUUACACAUGAAAUACAUGACAGAUGACAGAAAAACGCACAUAGUCGAUCGACAAACAAAUCGACGAAUGAUGUCAUAAAUCUUACAUCGCACUUCGCACAUGUGAAGUUUAUAUGCGAACAAAAAUGGCUGAAAAAAUCCCAACGAACAACUGUUGAGCAAAAAGCCUGCCAGACACAAUCAUAUCGCAAUCUCAAUCCUUCUUUUCUUAGGGAACUUUACUCACUGCUCCCUAAAUGUAUAACAAGAUUAUCUUCAUACUUUGUUUUUGGUAGGCAUCGAUUUUCACCGUUCUCUUUACAUGGAUUAAAGUUACUAGAUAAAAAGCACGGGUUACCUGAUAAAAUCUUGGCCACACUAUAAUCAAAUAAAUGUUGAGUUUUUAAUAGCCUCGGACCUCUUUGUUGUAUGUCCAAAGUGGCAUUACAAUACAACUUUUCAAAAUUUGGCAGCCGAUCUCAUUUAAGGCAGGCUUUUACGGGCAACUCUAUUUUAUUAUAUUCACAAUAAAACAGCGCUUAUUUUUACUUGAAAACUAGUAUAUUUUUAAUAGGAUAAACAAAUUGGUGAACAUAAAAAAUAAACAAAUUUUUAAUCUUAUAAAGACAGCCUAGCUAAUAUUUUAUCAGGUAACCCAUGCUUUGUAUCAUUAUUAGGGUCAAUUUUUCCAAUACCAGAUAAAUGUUAUACUAUACUAUACUAAGAACUUUCAAAUAUCAAUUUUAUAUUCUACAGAUAAAGGUAAUCUGUUGAUUGAGAAAUCGGUCCUUAAUAAACUAAAUUACAUAUCAAUUAUUUUUUAUCCAUUAAACAGGUCGGUGACGGUCGAUGUUAGAUCGUAUCCUCUACUAACAUUAUGCUCGUCGUCUGUCAAGUUACGCGCUGAGCUAUGAGCGCUGACCGUGAGCGUGAGACUAAAACCAGCCUUAACCUUUGUGUAAAUUCGGGGCUUCUACCUGAAACAACCUAACCUAUGAAUACCGACACGCUGAAAAAAGAACAAAAUAUGAGCGGGGUACAAUCAGUUCAGACGUAACUGUCAAUUAAUGGGACUGAAGUAAUGAUUAUCAUUUAAUUCAAAUUGUACUAUUGUACACAACUUUUGUACCCACUAUUGACUGGUAUCUACGACAUCUUAGAAUAUUAGUCGGUUAAGAUAAAUAGAAAGUAAGUUGAUGUUCACUAAAUAAGUGUGUUCUAGUCUGCUUUUAUCGAUGAUAUAACAACGAUGUGUUUUUAUGCAUUUUUCUAACUUUUAUUCAUAUGGUAUAUUUAUCUAUCGUGAAUUAUUAGUACUUAUAACUUAAGUGUAGUUACGUAACUGGAAGUGGAGGAUUCUCGGCUAAUAUAACUCGUACUAAGUACCUACACUGCUCAUGAUUAUGGAUCUUCCCUUGUGGCUUGAAAUUAGUCGAGAAACCUCGACAAACAGACAUUGUACUCUUUUAUUUGUGGAGCGAUACUGAAUAGUAUUUUUAAUGUAAGUGUAGGUAUCUGAUAUGUAAUGUCGAAAAUCUCGUCCUAUUAUUAUUUUUAUACUUUAAAAGUAUUAGGAGCAUAUUACUAGGCCCUUGUCUCGUCCUAAAGAUGUGUUUAUAAAGAAUAAAAUUCAGCUGACUAAUAAUUUAAUUAUUUUUAUUGUCACGUAAAAAAAGACGUACCUCAUUAUUAUUACUUAUGUUUUAAAUGGAUGAAAUCUAUAUAUAAUAAUUUCUUGUAUUGAUAUUUCAUUGAGAGUAGGUACAUUUUGUGUAACAAUAUUUAUACAUUCUUUAAAAAAGAAAAUAAGAUAAUGUAAUACAAUUCUAGAAGAUCUGUAAUUAUAAUUUUUCGAUGUGUAAUUUUUCAUUUAUUAAUUUUUAAUGGUAAUUCAAAAAGAGCUUGUCCACCACUGUUGUCACCAGGAGAACGUCAAACUUCGACAACGUAACUCCGAGGACGACGUACUUUUGAUUUAAUUUUAGGAUGAUGUGACGGCAAUCGUUUUUCGCCUCGACUGAUCACGCUGUUUUAUUCUAUUGCAGCUGUCACACGUGGCAGUCACAUUUUCGAAGAAAUUAAGUGAUGGCUGAGCUUAUUUGGCUACAAUUUUCAUGUAUAUAAAGAGUCGUUUUAACUACUAAUACGUGAACGGUACAUCACAGUAUACACAAUUGAUUCUAUUAGGUAUUCUGAUCAAACUAUUUUCAGGUUUUGCCUUACACCUUGUAUACUGCCACGGUACGUCCAUCUCAUUUUCGGUGGCGUAACAGUGAUGGCAGUGGUGGACAAACGAUAAAAUUACUCACAACCCUUACUUGUCAAACUUUGAUCGUCAUCAUUGACACAAAAAGUUGAUGCAAUGGCUUAUUUUGUAAGGACAAUGCUUAAAAUUGUGUGGAUUCUGUCCCCAUCCUUAUAGCAGAGCUUUAGACAACGACGAGCAUAUUACGUGAUUGAUCCCAGAGGCGGCAUAUGUCGGGGACCGUAAAUCCGCUACUCUUCUAGUCAUUAAAGGCUACUCACAUGCCCAGGUGGACUUCCAGUCAUACUCUAUAUCCCACAUGAAAGGUCCUAAUACCGAACCCUGGGGAACACCACAGUACAUGGUGCGCCGACGUACGGCAUUAUGUCCUCCAAAUGUGGACACUAUUCAGGUAGGCUCCUGCUAUGCGACGAAGGUAAGAAUUAAAUGAUGUUUUAAUUCUGAUUUCUUAAAGCCCUACGAGAGUUUUGAGCAUUGUUCUUUCGAGUUAUUCUAAGUUAUAUGGAUAUAGAUAUCAGAUAUCGUAUUAUUUAUAUUCGUGUGUUAUUAUUCCUCACGUUACAAUUUUGAUUAAAAAACAAAUGUGUAAUUAAUAUUUAAUUAAUCAAUAAAAAUAUCUGGAGAAUAGCUCACCGGUCUGUUAUCAGGGAUUGGAAAAGUAAUCGAAGGAUGAUUUGUUUUUGACAGAAAUUCACCGUAUGCCACUGAAAGUCUAUAGAUCAUUUCACGUCGGCGCGGCGCGUUAUAAGUUCGAAUGUUGCUGCAUCUGCAUCCGAUGUACAUAUCUUACACACUACGAGUCCCUUCACAUAAAAAUCUUCUUUCUUCAUGUGAAACUAAGCGAAUCUGUUUAAAUCUCACAGUUGGCUCCAGGUGAAAGCACAUAUCAUUGACCUUGUGAGUUGUGGCAGUGGUGGUGAGCUAAGGUCAAUUUUACUUUGUGGGUUAUACUUUAGUGAGGUAAUCAUGAUAUUAUGGUAAAAUUUUAUAAUUAUUAGAAUAAGUGCUUAUACAAACUGUUUGUAAGCGAUUGUAUUUCCGAUUAUAUUAUCCGUGUUGUGCUAAGGUGGUUUCCAGCUGUUCUGAACCCAGAGCUUAGUUUUAGGUACCCUUGGCAAA
Long non-coding RNA from Spodoptera frugiperda (fall armyworm), 4912 nucleotides. RefSeq lists it as uncharacterized. NCBI's taxonomy places the organism in Eukaryota, Metazoa, Arthropoda, Insecta, Lepidoptera, Noctuidae. The transcript has 4 exons. The record is from RefSeq and is a predicted model, not a curated record.